This 465-nucleotide ribosomal RNA is filed under the name uncultured bacterium. RNAcentral's name for it is "partial 16S ribosomal RNA". It matches the Rfam family "Bacterial small subunit ribosomal RNA", at positions 28 to 507 of the family's 1533-position model. The record is from RNAcentral.
GACGAACGCUGGCGGCGUGCUUAACACAUGCAAGUCGAACGGAAAGGCCCCAGCUUGCUGGGGUACUCGAGUGGCGAACGGGUGAGUAACACGUGGGUGAUCUGCCCUGCACUCUGGGAUAAGCCUGGGAAACUGGGUCUAAUACCGGAUAGGACCGUGCUUUAGUGUGUGCGGUGGAAAGUUUUUCGGUGCAGGAUGAGCCCGCGGCCUAUCAGCUUGUUGGUGGGGUAAUGGCCUACCAAGGCGGCGACGGGUAGCCGGCCUGAGAGGGUGUACGGCCACAUUGGGACUGAGACACGGCCCAGACUCCUACGGGAGGCAGCAGUGGGGAAUAUUGCACAAUGGGCGGAAGCCUGAUGCAGCGACGCCGCGUGGGGGAUGACGGCCUUCGGGUUGUAAACCCCUUUCGGCAGGGACGAAGCUUUUGUGACGGUACCUGCAUAAGAAGCACCGGCUAACUACGUG